AUGAGUAUUCCACCUGCGGCCUCGUUACCGUACCACGCCAUCUUCGACAUCCUCUCCAGGAUGCCCGUCAAGUCUGUCUGCCGGUUCCGAUGCGUGUCCAAGGGGUGGCUGGACCUCCUCUCCAACAACCCGGUCUUCGCCGCCGUGCACAUGCGCCGCCACGGCCCGCUCCUCGUCGGCUCAGGAUCCUUCCAGGAGGAAGAGCCCGCCGGAGGCCGUGACAUGCGUCUCCUGGACGUGGAUGGACACGUCGUGAGGGUCAUCAAGGGCGCCGGUGGAUUCGGGAUGAUGUGUAACACCAGCGUCAACGACCUCGUCUGCGUCAAUGGCGCUUCCUGCGAUGGCGUCCAAGUGGUCGAUCCAGCCACCGGGGAGGUGCUGGUGAGGUGCCCACAAUUGGAGGUGGUGGUCAAGCACCACGAGGUCCCUCUUGUGGCCACGCGCUACUACAACAUCUUUGGCUUCGGCCCCGCCGCCUUGUCCAGUCAGUACAAGCUGAUCCGCCUCGUC
Molecule: ribosomal RNA, 510 nt
Filed under: Triticum aestivum (bread wheat)
Lineage: Eukaryota; Viridiplantae; Streptophyta; Magnoliopsida; Poales; Poaceae
Description: partial small subunit ribosomal RNA
Source: RNAcentral